RNAcentral lists this unclassified non-coding RNA (335 nucleotides) under soil metagenome. RNAcentral describes it as "partial contains 5.8S ribosomal RNA, internal transcribed spacer 2, and large subunit ribosomal RNA". The stretch from base 1 to 120 matches the Rfam family "5.8S ribosomal RNA", at positions 35 to 154 of the family's 154-position model. The record is from RNAcentral.
GAUGAAGAACGUAGCGAAAUGCGAUAAGUAGUGUGAAUUGCAGAAUUCAGUGAAUCAUCGAAUCUUUGAACGCACAUUGCGCCCAUUAGUAUUCUAGUGGGCAUGCCUGUUCGAGCGUCAUUUCAACCCUUAAGCCUAGCUUAGUAUUGGGAAUCGACUUUACUGUCGUUCCUCAAAUUCAACGGCGGAUUUAUAGCAAUCUCUGAACGUAGUAAUUUUUUUCCUCGUUUUUGAAAUACUAUAAACCUCAGCCGCUAAACCCCCAAUUUUUCUAUGGUUGACCUCGGAUCAGGUAGGAAUACCCGCUGAACUUAAGCAUAUCAAUAAGCGGAGGA